UUCUAAUGAUUCACCGGAACCCCAGUAGUGAUCCGCUCCCUGGCUAAGAGAGUUAACGGCGCUGUAAGUUAACCCACAACGCGAUCACGAAUUACACUCCAACCAAGGUGACUCACGCACGGCGCGAUAGUCCAUUUGAGGUGCAAUGCACAAAGCUGGGUGGUACCACGGUGAAAAUCGUCCCUUGC
RNAcentral lists this small RNA (188 nucleotides) under Limosilactobacillus fermentum. Its description in RNAcentral is "Lactobacillus fermentum T-box". The record is from RNAcentral. Lineage: Bacteria; Bacillati; Bacillota; Bacilli; Lactobacillales; Lactobacillaceae.